RNAcentral lists this ribosomal RNA (433 nucleotides) under uncultured bacterium. RNAcentral describes it as "partial 16S ribosomal RNA". It matches the Rfam family "Bacterial small subunit ribosomal RNA", at positions 29 to 507 of the family's 1533-position model. The record is from RNAcentral.
AACGAACGCUGGCGGCAGGCCUAACACAUGCGAGUCGAGCGAGGACUUCGGUUCUAGCGGCGGACGGGUGAGUAACGCGUGGGAAUGUGCCCUUCUCUACGGAAUAGCCCUGGGAAACUGGGAGUAAUACCGUAUACGCCCUAUUGGGGAAAGAUUUAUCGGAGAAGGAUCAGCCCGCGUUGGAUUAGGUAGUUGGUGGGGUAAUGGCCUACCAAGCCGACGAUCCAUAGCUGGUUUGAGAGGAUGAUCAGCCACACUGGGACUGAGACACGGCCCAGACUCCUACGGGAGGCAGCAAUGGGGAAUCUUAGACAAUGGGGGCAACCCUGAUCGAGCCAUGCCGCGUGAGUGAUGAAGGCCUUAGGGUUGUAAAGCUCUUUCAGCUGGGAAGAUAAUGACGGUACCAGCAGAAGAAGCCCCGGCUAACUCCGUG